GGUGCCUCUAGCUUUCAUGUCUUCAACUUCUCCGGUUUUGUGGAAUCACCUUCCAUUUUCCAAAAUCCCUGAGGGUUCUUUGGGGCAGAAGGCUAACAAGCCCUGAGAUGAAUGAUGCUCUUCCCAAGGAAGGCAGAGGAGGCGACAGUCCAUUUGCGUUCUCUCCUCUGCAAGUACAGGAUCUCGUUUGAUUCUCAAAACCACCCUAGAGGAGACAGGAGGCACCUGAGGCCCAGAGACGUGAAGCCACCUGUCCAAGGCCAUACAGCAGG
RNAcentral lists this long non-coding RNA (272 nucleotides) under Homo sapiens (human). RNAcentral describes it as "HSALNT0302054". Lineage: Eukaryota; Metazoa; Chordata; Mammalia; Primates; Hominidae. The record is from RNAcentral.